UACAGAGGGUGCGAGCGUUAAUCGGAAUUACUGGGCGUAAAGCGCGCGUAGGCGGCUUUGCAAGUCGGGUGUGAAAUCCCCAGGCUUAACCUGGGAACUGCGUUUGAAACUGGAAGGCUAGAGUGUGGCAGAGGGGGGUGGAAUUCCACGUGUAGCAGUGAAAUGCGUAGAGAUGUGGAGGAACACCGAUGGCGAAGGCAGACCCCUGGGCUAACACUGACGCUAAUGCACGAAAGCGUGGGGAGCAAACAGG
RNAcentral lists this ribosomal RNA (253 nucleotides) under uncultured bacterium. Its description in RNAcentral is "partial 16S ribosomal RNA". It matches the Rfam family "Bacterial small subunit ribosomal RNA", at positions 524 to 776 of the family's 1533-position model. The record is from RNAcentral.